UACGGGGGGGGCAAGCGUUGUUCGGAAUUACUGGGCGUCAAGGGCGCGUAGGCGGCGCAACAAGUCACUUGUGAAAUCUCCGGGCUUAACCCGGAGCGGUCAAGUGAUACUGUCGUGCUAGAGUGCGGAAGGGGCUACUGGAAUUCUCGGUGUAGCGGUGAAAUGCGUAGAUAUCGAGAGGAACACCUGCGGCGAAGGCGGGUAGCUGGGCCGACACUGACGCUGAUGCGCGAAAGCCAGGGGAGCGAACGGG
This 253-nucleotide ribosomal RNA is filed under the name uncultured bacterium. RNAcentral describes it as "partial 16S ribosomal RNA". It matches the Rfam family "Bacterial small subunit ribosomal RNA", at positions 524 to 776 of the family's 1533-position model. The record is from RNAcentral.